GCCGCUUUAGCUCACAUGGUAGAGCAACUGACUUGUAAUCAGUAGGUAAUUGGUUCGAUUCCGAUAAGCGGCACCA
This 76-nucleotide transfer RNA is filed under the name Cetobacterium sp. RNAcentral's name for it is "tRNA-Thr". It matches the Rfam family "tRNA". From Rfam's summary of the family: Transfer RNA (tRNA) molecules are approximately 80 nucleotides in length. The record is from RNAcentral. Lineage: Bacteria; Fusobacteriati; Fusobacteriota; Fusobacteriia; Fusobacteriales; Fusobacteriaceae. RNAcentral also lists the same sequence under 1 other name.